RNAcentral lists this unclassified non-coding RNA (216 nucleotides) under Hevea brasiliensis (rubber tree). Lineage: Eukaryota; Viridiplantae; Streptophyta; Magnoliopsida; Malpighiales; Euphorbiaceae. The record is from RNAcentral.
UCAAUUUAGUUGAAAAUAAUUAUGUUUGAUAUUUUAUUCAUGAUCUCCUCAUAAAGAGAUUAUUACAUUAUUUCACAUAGAAUUUUCUACUAUUAGAAACCAAAAUUUAAGGCCAUAAUUUAACAUAAUGAUAAUCAAAGUAAUAUCUUAAUUGGAAUAUUUAUUUUUGCUAAUAAUUAAUUGUUGCUGCUACUGAAUCCACCUUUGAUGCUAAUU